Molecule: transfer RNA, 73 nt
Filed under: Stylophora pistillata
Lineage: Eukaryota; Metazoa; Cnidaria; Anthozoa; Scleractinia; Pocilloporidae
Description: tRNA-Val
Rfam family: tRNA
About the family: Transfer RNA (tRNA) molecules are approximately 80 nucleotides in length. Their secondary structure includes four short double-helical elements and three loops (D, anti-codon, and T loops).
Source: Rfam by way of RNAcentral
GUUUCUGUGGUGUAGUGGUUAUCACAUCCGCCUAACACGCGGAAGGUCGCAGGUUCGAGCCCUGCCAGAAACA